AGAUUUAUUAAUAGCUUGUGUUUGCCCAGAGCUUUAAAAGCAAGCCCCGAGGCACCGAGAACCUCACCUACCAGGCACUGCUGUGUAGCACAGGGUGGCCUUUCCAGAGGGCUCUCAACCCCCCCAACCCGAAAACCUCAAGAUCUGAAAGGAAUUUGGGGGCCCUAUUAUCAGAGGCUAUUUCUGAGCACAGCAGCAGUGUGGGAGACAGCGGAUGGGGAUACCUUUGACAUGGGUGGUCCACCGGGCAGCGGUGAAGACCCUGGGCAGGCAGAGCAGUCAAAAGGAGGGGGAGAACAAGUGGGAACUGGGAUUUGGGAAUGAGUGAAGCCUCUGACUAUGAAUUCAGGGGCAGAGGCAGCCAACAGCAUCUGAAUCUGCACACAGCCCUCAUUUGCAAUCAUUGGCUGGCUCUAUAAACAAGGAGGUUCUGCAAACAGCACAAGUGUGUUAAAUAGCUUCAGACUCUCUAAACAGCAGCUUGCUUUAUGCACAGAGGAUGGUGUAUUCAUCAGGGACCUGGUAAGCAGACGGCCACAGGAUUCAUACUCCAGGAUUUAAGCUACAGACCAAGAGACCAUCUGCUGGUGCACAUGGGAAAGUGUGGGUCGGUUUCGGUGUCUUAUCGAUAUCGUGGGCAGGAUGGUUUGCCCAGAAGACCUGCAUCUCUGGGGGACACUCACUGCCCUCGCACUAAAAGGAACAGAGGAUGGGCAAGUUCCCAGUUCCUUCCCUACAGCUUCCCUUUGGUCCAUGCCACUACAGGACUUCUCAUUGGGAAUCUCUGGAUGUCUGGCUGUGACAAGCUUGGGCCAUACUUUCUUAAGAGGGAGGCUGGGCUCCUUGCAGAAGGCUGAAGCUAGUGGCAAUGGCAACGUGCAGCAUUGUUCAGUUCUUCUGGUUUACAGUCCAUUUGGACAUCCAUUAUUUAUGGCAGCUGAGUGGCUGUGAACAAGCUGAGACUCAAUUAAGAUAAUGUUCCCCCACACAGGAGCGGUGGUUAAUGCUGAAAAGUUAUUCCAACUCAUCCUUUACACUGCAUAGAGCUGGAGAUAUAAAGAGACCAAGGGGCUGAGUUAGAGAAGCCCAGAGACAGAGAGCUAGAGUGGAGAACAGAGAGAUGGAAGGGGAAAGAGGGAAGCAGAUGCAUCCUGAGUCUGGAGGAAGAGGCAUCCCUCCCACAGGCCACCUCUGCCCUUGUCCCCAGCCUCUGUGCUGGAACCCCUGCUCCCCAUCCUAGGAGGGGAGGAGGUAUGUCUCCUGGAUCUCAGAGGUCCUUGAGCUGAGUCUUCCCAUCUCCAGUGCUGCCCUCCCUUCCUUGUCUUGUCCUGUCCCCUGCCUGGCCUGCAUCAUCAGCCUGUCCCCUGAGCACUAGUGAUGGUGCCUGCUGGGGGCAGUGGACAUGCUGCAGGCUGCUGUGCUACCCUGGUCCCCACAGCAGGAGAGCAGUGAGAGGUGGGCAGGCAGGCAGGGGCUUCCAAGGGAGAGAAAGAGAGGGGGUGCUGGGACAGGUUUGGGGGCAAAGGUGGAGGAAAAGUAGGUGGCAAAGGAGUGACUCAGAGAGUCAGGAAGGGCGGGCAGCAGCCGGUGUGGCCUUUACUGAGGUCAUCUGAGAGGGACAGGGCCUCCUUGCCAUGCACCUGCUGGUCGGCCAUUUCUUCCACCCCAGCAUCACAUAGGGGUCCUCCUGCCCACUCCCCCAUGUCGCUCCUCUAGACCUUUCACUCCACGUCACGAGGCAACUUCCUGGCGAGAAUUGCCCCCGAUUUCCAUUUAUCUUUGAGACUUUCAGCUAAAGGGAUUUGAGAGCAGCCGGCAGGUUCACAGGCCUAAUCAGGCCUGAUGCAUCUCUAACCAGACAGGGAGUGUGCGUCUGGAUUUGUCGCCCGACAGGUACAGAUGUCGGAGGCUCUCAUCCAUGAGACGGAAUCACUCUCGGGGAUUGAGAGGCUGAGCGGGCGUCAAUCAGAGGCAGGCUGCACAACUCAAACAGGGGACGGAGGCUUUUGGCAAAGCCCCUUCCGACAGAGCCAGGUCAGCAGGCACUUCACUUCAUCAACUGAAUUACGGAAGGCUUCAACCCCAGGGCUGAGAAUUUCGAAGGAUGCUCCCGUUCUGCAGUAUUC
This 2126-nucleotide long non-coding RNA is filed under the name Canis lupus familiaris (dog). RNAcentral describes it as "lncRNA (ENSCAFG00000054572.1, ENSCAFG00845014656.1)". The record is from RNAcentral. Lineage: Eukaryota; Metazoa; Chordata; Mammalia; Carnivora; Canidae.